AAAGAAGGAAGUUCAAGCAGAUUUGAGCAGUGGGUUCCAUGAUUGGUGCAGCUGGAACCCCCACUGUAGAAGCAGAGAAGGAAACAGGCUAGAGAGAAGAGGCAGGGGACACAGAGCAGACUCAGAGCCCAAAAGUGGGAGAGGCACUUGGAAUCCCACAGAUUUUGAAGGGAGCAUUGAUAGUUCCUAAGACAGAGGUUCUCAGCAUGUGGUCAAGACCCCAUUGGAGUUUGCAUAUUAGAUAUCCUGCAUAUCAGAUCUUUACAUUGUGAUUGAUAAUAGUAGCAAAUUAGUUAUGGUGUGUCAAUGAAAUUAUUUUAUGGUUGGGGGGUCCCCACAACAUGAAGAACUGUAUUAAAGAGUCACAGCAUUAGGAAGGUUGAGAACCACCGUCUUAAGAGAUGUGAACAAAGGGAUGGUACCCCAUCCCUCCCUUUCUCAGCCUCAUUCACCCCAAGAGGGUUUACUUCACUAGACAAUGAGCUCCAGUGUGUUUAUCACUAGUUAAUUUUGUGGACCAAAAUUUCUGAAGCUUCAGAGGAAAAAGAACACAAGACUUCUCUACAAUGCUAUGUUCUAAAUACCUCUAUGCUGCUUGGGAUGGAUCUGCCACAGAAAAUGCGUUCAGAGCUG
This 633-nucleotide long non-coding RNA is filed under the name Cricetulus griseus (Chinese hamster). RNAcentral's name for it is "lncRNA (ENSCGRG00015042359.1)". Lineage: Eukaryota; Metazoa; Chordata; Mammalia; Rodentia; Cricetidae. The record is from RNAcentral.